This 481-nucleotide ribosomal RNA is filed under the name uncultured bacterium. RNAcentral describes it as "partial 16S ribosomal RNA". It matches the Rfam family "Bacterial small subunit ribosomal RNA", at positions 28 to 507 of the family's 1533-position model. The record is from RNAcentral.
GAUGAACGCUGGCGGCGUGCUUAACACAUGCAAGUCGAACGAAGCAUUUAAGACAGAUUACUUCGGUUUGAAGUCUUUUAUGACUGAGUGGCGGACGGGUGAGUAACGCGUGGGUAACCUGCCUCAUACAGGGGGAUAGCAGCUGGAAACGGCUGGUAAUACCGCAUAAGCGCACAGUACCACAUGGUACAGUGGGAAAAACUCCGGUGGGAUGGGAUGGACCCGCGUCUGAUUAGCUUGUUGGCGGGGUAAUGGCCUACCAAGGCGACGAUCAGGAGCCGACCGGGGAGGGGGACCGGCCGCAAUGGGACUGAGACACGGACCAGACUCGUACGGAGGGGAGGAGAGGGGAAUAUUGCACGAUGGAGGAAACUCUGAUGCAGCGACGCGGCGUGAGUGGAGAAGUAGUUCGCUAUGUAAAGCUCUAUCAGCAGGGGAGAUAGUGACGGUAACGGACAAAGAAGCUCCGGCUAAAUACGUG